AUGCAGUGUCCCCCUGUGGUGGUUUUUGGGGCAUGGGCUGUACCCAUGGCUGGGUUUUUCUCUCCAGAUAUCUGCACAACCUUCAUCUUCCCUCUGCACCUGGCCGAGUUGCUUCAGCCUCUACAAGACACAUAUUUGAAGGAAGUUCUCUCAAUCCUGGUAAGGAAAGUGAGUGAAAGGACAUCUACAUCCUCCUCCUUCCCACUCCACCUGAGCCACCUACGCCUCUUCAGGGGGCCCCAAGGGACCUACCUUAAUCCAGAUCAAAUCUCCUCAAACUUCUUCCCUCACACCCGAGUUUCUUCCCCCCCAGGAGUCUCCUGGUGCAUGGAACUGACCAGAAACUGGGGUUCCCCAAAGCCUCUGUCUGCCUUCUGCAGCUGA
RNAcentral lists this long non-coding RNA (384 nucleotides) under Sus scrofa (pig). Its description in RNAcentral is "lncRNA (ENSSSCG00045011809.1)". The record is from RNAcentral. Lineage: Eukaryota; Metazoa; Chordata; Mammalia; Artiodactyla; Suidae.